AUUGAACGCUGGCGGCAUGCUUUACACAUGCAAGUCGAACGGCAGCGCGGGCUUCGGCCUGGCGGCGAGUGGCGAACGGGUGAGUAAUGCAUCGGAACGUGCCCAGUAGUGGGGGAUAGCCCGGCGAAAGCCGGAUUAAUACCGCAUACGACCUGAGGGUGAAAGCGGGGGGCCGAAAGGCCUCGCGCUAUUGGAGCGGCCGAUGUCGGAUUAGCUAGUUGGUGGGGUAAAGGCUUACCAAGGCGACGAUCCGUAGCUGGUCUGAGAGGACGACCAGCCACACUGGGACUGAGACACGGCCCAGACUCCUACGGGAGGCAGCAGUGGGGAAUUUUGGACAAUGGGGGCAACCCUGAUCCAGCCAUGCCGCGUGCGGGAAGAAGGCCUUCGGGUUGUAAACCGCUUUUGUUCGGGAAGAAAUCCUCUGGGCUAAUACCCCGGGGGGAUGACGGUACCGGAAGAAUAAGCACCGGCUAACUACGU
This 483-nucleotide ribosomal RNA is filed under the name uncultured bacterium. RNAcentral's name for it is "partial 16S ribosomal RNA". It matches the Rfam family "Bacterial small subunit ribosomal RNA", at positions 28 to 506 of the family's 1533-position model. The record is from RNAcentral.